Molecule: long non-coding RNA, 1281 nt
Organism: Antechinus flavipes (yellow-footed antechinus)
Lineage: Eukaryota; Metazoa; Chordata; Mammalia; Dasyuromorphia; Dasyuridae
Exons: 2
Source: RefSeq, a predicted model, not a curated record
CCGCCCCUGGGCCCAGCGACCGCUGGGAAACGUAGUCCCUGACCCAGCCCUGCCCUGCCCUAUCUUGUUCUGUCCAGUCCCUUCGAGGCCGGUCCAAAGAACACAGCUUUCUAGAGGACACCAGCCGGAUCAUCCAUGAGGUAAUUUGCGAACGCUUUGCCUGCUUCAGGCGGCGCGAGACCCGGCCGUAGGUACUGGGCUCCUGAAGAGGCGGAGAGAUUUCCGGGACCCCCAGCUCUCCAUAAUCCCCGCUUUGCUACAACCAGUCCGAGCGGACGCUGACGGCCAAGAGCCGAGCUCGGGGAGCACCGUCGGCUUCCCGGACACGCCAACUCCAGUAGUCGACUACAAGUCCCAGGCGCCUCGGCAGAUGCCCUGGCCCUUGCCAGCUUCCAGACAUGCAAAAGAGCUUUGGGCUGGUGACUCGCGGGCUCGGAGUUGAUUUGCUCUGGGCAGUCGGGGUUAUUUGCCUAAGAAAUGAACGUUUGCUAAACAAAACAAAACAAAAAAGUUUGCGCUCUUGGAGCUCUCGGGAGAAAGAGGCUUUAAUCCAAGGCUGGGGGUGGGGAGGGAAUACAUUGUAAUUCCUCGCUUCGUUUUACCUUUAAUUCUGAUAUUUGGGUGCUAUGAGAGCCUGUACCCGGGAAAAUAGGGUUGAGAGAAAGAAAUCGUGGAGAGGCGUUUGGGAUAAAGUAGCCACCUUGGUAGACACCGGCGAGGGCGGAGAUUGGGGGAGGGAAGGAGGUGGGAAGGGAGUUCGGGAUAAGGGGAGAUAUGGAUCGCCAAGAAACUGAGGAAAAUAAGAGGCACAGGCACCUUCUCUAUUUUUUCAAAUUCCCUCCCCCACCCCACCCCCCUUCCCCAGACCGAGGGGGAAAUCUGGACUGAAAGUAAGAGAAUCUGACUUUCUUCAAUGAUGUUGGGCUGAGGAGGUACAUAGGAAGUGAUUUGCUCAAAUUCACACAUAACAGGAAGGGACAGACAAGGAACCAACCCAGUACACCUAUUAGGUAUAGUAUAUGCCUGGCUCUUGUAUUUUUAAUAUAAUCACACAUUGUCAGAGUUGGAGGAAAACUUAUAGAUCAAGGCCAUGAAAUAUAAAGAAUUCUUAUUAAAAGAAAAAAAAAGGAAUCCUUGAACUUGAAGACAUGGGACUUUAUGGAACUUCUUCAGUACAUUUUACGGAUGAGGAAACUGAGGUGAACAGGGUUAAAUGACUUGCCAGAAUCACAAGUGUCUGUGGCAACAUUUGAAUCCAGAAAAUAAAACUUUCUAACUCUA